This 886-nucleotide ribosomal RNA is filed under the name uncultured bacterium. RNAcentral's name for it is "bacterial SSU rRNA". It matches the Rfam family "Bacterial small subunit ribosomal RNA", at positions 8 to 895 of the family's 1533-position model. The record is from RNAcentral.
AGAGUUUGAUCCUGGCUCAGAUUGAACGCUGGCGGUAUGCUUUACACAUGCAAGUCGAACGGGCUUGGGGGCUUGCUCCCGAGUUAGUGGCGAACGGGUGAGUAAUAUAUCGGAACAUAUCCGGAAGUGGGGGAUAACGUAGCGAAAGUUACGCUAAUACCGCAUAUGCCCUGAGGGGGAAAGGGGGGGAUCGCAAGACCUCGCGCGAUUGGAGCGGCCGAUAUCAGAUUAGCUAGUAGGUGAGGUAAAGGCUCACCUAGGCGACGAUCCGUAGCUGGUCUGAGAGGACGACCAGCCACACUGGAACUGAGACACGGUCCAGACUCCUACGGGAGGCAGCAGUGAGGAAUAUUGGUCAAUGGGCGCAAGCCUGAACCAGCCAUCCCGCGUGCAGGAUGAAGGCCCUAUGGGUCGUAAACUGCUUUUAUACACCAAGAAAAAGCAGGACGUGUCCUGCCCCGACGGUAGUGUAUGAAUAAGCAUCGGCUAACUCCGUGCCAGCAGCCGCGGUAAUACGUAGGGUGCGAGCGUUAAUCGGAAUUACUGGGCGUAAAGCGUGCGCAGGCGGUUAUAUAAGACAGAUGUGAAAUCCCCGGGCUCAACCUGGGACCUGCAUUUGUGACUGUAUAGCUAGAGUACGGUAGAGGGGGAUGGAAUUCCGCGUGUAGCAGUGAAAUGCGUAGAUAUGCGGAGGAACACCGAUGGCGAAGGCAAUCCCCUGGACCUGUACUGACGCUCAUGCACGAAAGCGUGGGGAGCAAACAGGAUUAGAUACCCUGGUAGUCCACGCCCUAAACGAUGUCAACUAGUUGUCGGGAGAGGAGACUUUCUUGGUAACGCAGCUAACGCGUGAAGUUGACCGCCUGGGGAGUACGGCCGCAAGGUU